This 395-nucleotide ribosomal RNA is filed under the name uncultured bacterium. RNAcentral's name for it is "partial 16S ribosomal RNA". It matches the Rfam family "Bacterial small subunit ribosomal RNA", at positions 338 to 730 of the family's 1533-position model. The record is from RNAcentral.
CCUACGGGAGGCAGCAGUGAGGAAUAUUGGUCAAUGGACGUGAGGCUGAACCAGCCAAGUCGCGUGAAGGAAGACGGACCUAUGGGUUGUAAACUUCUUUUAUAGGGGAAUAAAGGUAUCCACGUGUGGAUUUUUGUAUGUACCCUAUGAAUAAGCAUCGGCUAACUCCGUGCCAGCAGCCGCGGUAAUACGGAGGAUUCGAGCGUUAUCCGGAUUUAUUGGGUUUAAAGGGUGCGUAGGUGGUUUGUUAAGUCAGUGGUGAAAGUUUGCGGCUCAACCAUAAAAUUGCAGUUGAAACUGGAAGUCUUGAGUGCGGUAGAGGUAGGCGGAAUGCGUGGUGUAGCGGUGAAAUGCAUAGAUAUCACGAAGAACUCCGAUUGCGAAGGCAGCUUACU